GCCCUUCUGGUGCUCCGAUCCGGAGUCCCUGGAACCAGCCUCUGGCCCCCUAGAUGUACGGCCGCAGGACCUUUGGUUUGCUGGCAGCUGUGUCUCAGAAAAAGCUGUCUUCAGCAAGGCAGAAGCAGAUAUUUUAACACUCAACUAGGAGCCGCAAAAGAGAAGACAGAAAAAAGAGUCUCUGAAGGUUCGACAGAAGAAGAGGCUGGCAGUGGCUCCUAUUAAUGUUUAUUAAAAGCGGCAAGAUCAUUGAGGUCUCUGGAGUGAAAUCACGGCCAGGUUUUAUGAAAACAGAUCCGAAAAGCUGAGGACUGAUGUGAAACUGUCUGAAAUGGAUGAUUUCUGAAGCAUAUUCACAUUCCUAAAAAGUGUCUUCCCUUCAUUUGUGUUUACCCACUGACUCUCAGCUAGUAAUUCCAGUCUUUAUGCUUGCCAGUUUCUUAGAUGAGUGGGGUGAAGGAGCACAGACUAGCCUCCAAAAAUUCAACUCUAGGCACAUGCAAAUUGGACACAUGCAAGUGGCCAAAAUAAGCUUCCCCUGAUGAGACAAGUGAAUAUGAGCUGCUUAAAAUAUCUCCUUAUUAAAGCCCCUACUAUUUUUAGAAAGGGCAGUAAGGCAUAAAGAUGAUGACCCUCCCACUCACUAAAGUCAGGUCAGGGAGUAAUUCAGCUGUCUCAGAAAUAAAGUAUUUGAAGAGCUAUGUGUAACCCAUGACCUUCAGCCAGGCGGUACCUGAUUCAGUAGUAUGCUAUAGAUAGACAUGAUGAACAUGCUUGAAAUAGUGACACAGUUUGUUUAUGUCAGCUUUUGGAUAGAAUCAUUCACAGGCAUGUUUGGCCUUAAGCUGUGUAACAUUUUAGCUAUUUCAUUAUAAUCAAACACAAAUUCAGACUCUCCACUUGGGAAAAAUGUAAAACAGUUAUCUAGGUGAGCUUUCAACACUCUCCAAUUUACAAUGACAAUUCUGGUUUUUAACACAUCAAUUCUUGAAAGACUCACAAGAUGGUAAACAGUGUUUCUCGUUAUUAGCUGAUGAUGGGAAAUCAACUCUCUCUAGUCAACCUCUAUAAACAAGACUGCUAGGCAUUCUGAAUGGUAUCUAUAGAUUUCUCUCAUUAACUACACAAUCAAGAGAUCAACAUAGCACUUCAGGAGAUGGUUUACUAGAAUGGAACAUAAGCAACAAAUGUGCAUUUCUAGCAUUCCAACUGGCUCACAGCUUUUGGAAAAUUAAAACUCCAUCCCAUUUAAAGGGCCAGUGACAGAGUUCACUCCAACAGGUGUUUAAAAAGGACACCUGCUGGGAUCAGACGCCCACCCCCCCCCCACCCCCGCUCCACCAUGAUAAUAUGUAGGUGUUCAAGAAUUUCCGGCUGUCAAAUUCUUAAUGAGAUUGUUUUUGAAUAAUAUGUGCUUGCUGGAUUUAGAAAUCUCAGAUUGAAGGGGUAAACUCAGACUACUCUGACACCAUUUUAUAUAUUUAAAGUAUGGUGUUAUUAUUUAUAGCUCUUGAAGACGCACCUCCCCGCCAAAUCCUUAUAUUUGGGUUCUGUAAAAUUAGUCUGGAAAUGUCUAAACAAGUCAUCUUCAGCCAUUUGUUGCACAUCAGAACUUCCUGAGCAUCUUUUAGAAACCACUUAAUCUGCGUCCCACCAUAGAUCAAGUUGAUCAGCAAUCUCUGGAAGCAGUAUCACGUAUCUAUACACUUUUACAGCUCCUUGGGUGAUUCUGAUGUACAGUUAAGGGUUGAGAACAAUAGUUCUAACCCCUCUGAAAGCCUCAGGAAGUUCCAGAGCCAUAGAAGAAUUUUGGGUUGGAUUAAAAUGAUCCAAGGAAAUCAGUAGCUGUCCAAUGAGUCUGGAGUGUGAUGCAUUCAUGGCAAAAGUAUUGGGGACUCAUAACUUGGCCUUGACUCCUGCCCCUGUUGUCCUAGACCCAUAGGAAUGAACAAUAGCUCUGUAAUGGCUAACACAGCUGUAAAAAAAAAAAAAAAAAAAGCAACGUUGAUAAAAAAAAGACAGAUGCAGAAUGCAAAACUUUGCUAUUAUUUCUAGGUGAAUUUUUAAAAUACUUCCUAGUUGGGUGAUUUUUAUGGAGUGGUUGGUGAGAUGCCUGGCUCACGGGCCCAGCCGCUCCGCGGCAUGUGGGAUCUUCCCGGACCGGGGCACGAACCUGUGUCCCCUGAAUCGGCAGGGGGACUCUCAACCACUGCGCCACUAGGGAAGCCCCAACCAAGGAAAUGUUGUUGCUUAGAACUUCAUGUCUUUUUUUUUCCUCAUUGAGAUUACUCUUUAGGGAGUCGCUUCAUCACAGAGACUCUGUACACUUUUCCUUUUUGAAUAAAUAGCUUUGUUUUUUAACAUGGAAAUCACCACCCGAAGAGACCUUUGUAAAAAAGCCAAACUAUAGAUGAUUUAGCUUCUGGAGGUAUCUCACCCCUCUAGCUCGUAACUUGGAGGGACGUUUUCAUUCUUUCUUUUUACUCAGGAAUUAUUUGAAAAUAAUUUGAAUCUAUCCGUUAUGUUCUACAUUCUUUAGAGUUGAUAAUUUUGAGUGGGGAAGGAGACAAAAUAAAUUGGUUAAGUAAAUGGCUCUUGUCCUAUAAAA
Molecule: long non-coding RNA, 2608 nt
Organism: Aethalodelphis obliquidens (Pacific white-sided dolphin)
Lineage: Eukaryota; Metazoa; Chordata; Mammalia; Artiodactyla; Delphinidae
Exons: 4
Source: RefSeq, a predicted model, not a curated record